GUCAAAUCGUUAAAAAAGAAGAGUAUUUAUAAUUCUGUUUUUAGAGAGGAAAUGGUUGGUGCAAAUUUCUAUCAGAAUAUAAAGAAAGCUACUUUGAAGAGUGAUGUAAACAUCAACGCAUAGUCGGCGUUAUCGACUUAGAGAGCAUAAUCUUUUGAUUAUGAAUAAGGAUGGUACCGCGAUUUAAGUCGUUCCUUUU
This 199-nucleotide non-coding RNA is filed under the name Coprobacillus sp. Its description in RNAcentral is "T-box sequence". It matches the Rfam family "T-box leader". From Rfam's summary of the family: Uncharged tRNA acts as the effector for transcription antitermination of genes in the T-box leader family. T-boxes are found upstream of many aminoacyl-tRNA synthetase genes and some amino acid biosynthetic genes usually in Gram-positive bacteria. The anticodon of a specific tRNA base pairs to a specifier sequence within the T-box motif, and the NCCA acceptor tail of the tRNA base pairs to a conserved bulge in the T-box antiterminator hairpin. The record is from RNAcentral. Lineage: Bacteria; Bacillati; Bacillota; Erysipelotrichia; Erysipelotrichales; Coprobacillaceae.